RNAcentral lists this ribosomal RNA (774 nucleotides) under uncultured Neocallimastigales. RNAcentral describes it as "partial large subunit ribosomal RNA". It matches the Rfam family "Eukaryotic large subunit ribosomal RNA", at positions 24 to 643 of the family's 3401-position model. Lineage: Eukaryota; Fungi; Neocallimastigomycota; Neocallimastigomycetes; Neocallimastigales. The record is from RNAcentral.
AUCUCUGUAGAGUCUGCAUAUCAAUAAGCGGAGGAAAAGAAACUAACUAGGAUUCCCUCAGUAACGGCGAGUGAAGCGGGAAGAGCUCAAAUUUGAAAUCUUCAAGGUUCUACCUUGACGAAUUGUAGUUUAAAGAAGUGUUUUCUGUUGGAGUUUUGGUAAAAGUUCUUUGGAAUAGGACAUCAUAGAGGGUGAGAAUCCCGUAUUUGACCAUUAUUUCCAACUUUGUGAUACACUUUCAAAGAGUCGGAUUGUUUGGGAAUGCAGUCCAAAAUGGGUGGUAAAUUUCAUCUAAAGCUAAAUACUGGCGAGAGACCGAUAGCGAACAAGUACCGUGAGGGAAAGAUGAAAAGAACUUUGAAAAGAGAGUUAAACAGUACGUGAAAUUGUCAAAAGGGAAGCGUUUGACACCAGUGUUGUUUUCUCGAAAAUCAAUUAAAAAUGGUGGGAUUUUGUGUUGUAUUGACUUUAUCAGCUUUCUGCACUUUUUUCCUAUCUUUUUUAAUGCACUUUUCGUUUAACAAGUCAACAUCAAUUUCUUUUGUUGUAAAAGGGUCAUUGGAAGGUGGCUUUCUUUUCGGAGAAAGUGUUUAUAGCCUUUGGCCUCUGCAAUCGGAGAGAUUGAGGUCUGCAGUGUAGAUCCUUCGGGGUUAGAUACAUUUGUGCUAAGUUAUAGCCUUUCAUAGACAACUUGUUGACUAUGAUCAGUCAUGUAGCUUACUCGCUUAUGUCUAUUUUACCUACGCUUAGGAUGUUGAUGUGAUACUGCGAGCA